AUUGAAGUAUUUAUUAAUUGAAAAUUUAUGGGGGUAAUAUUUUUAAUUUAAAUAAAAUAUGGUUUUAUUAUUACUAGGGAACAAAUUAUUUUUUAUUAUAGGGAAAUAGUAUUGUGAAAGAAAAUUUAAUUAAAUUUUUUAAAGAAAAAUUAAUUUUUUGUACCUUGUGUAUCAGGGUUUAUUAAUUUUAUUAUUUUAGGUUAAAUUUUCUCGAAUUUAAAAGAGCUAAAAUUUUAUAAAUUUUAUUGUGGAAUAAAUAUUUAUAAUAAAAUUUUUGAAAUGAAACGUUAUUCGUUUUUAAAUAUAUCUAGUUUUUUGAGAAAAAAAUUUAAUUUGUUAUUUAUUUAGUAAUAAUUCAUUUUGUUGAAUUUUUAUUGUUAAUUAGUUAUAUUUUUAGGGAUAAGCUUAAAAAUAAAUUUUUAUAAAUUUUAUUUUUGUUUACUAUUUGUAGGAUUAGAAAUUUUUAUCAUUAGGAAAAUGUUAUAAUUUAUGGGGGGGUUUAUAUUUUUUAUAUAAAAUUUUAAAUUUUAUAUCAAAAUAUAAAUUUAAAUUAUAAAAAUUUAGUAAUAAUGAUAAAAUUAGUAUAAAAUUUUUUUUAUUUAAUAAAUUUAAUUAUAAAGGUUUUUAAAAGGAAUUCGGCAAAUUAUUUCUCACCUGUUUAUUAAAAACAUGGCCUUUUGAUUAUAUUUAAGGUCUAGCCUGCCCAAUGAAUUAAUUUUUAAAUGGCCGCGGUAUUUUGACUGUGCAAAGGUAGCAUAAUCAUUAGUUUUUUAAUUGAAAGCUAGAAUGAAUGGCUGAAUGAGGAAAUUACUGUCUCUUAAAAAUUUUAUUAGAAUUUUAUUUUUAAGUUAAAAAGCUUAAAUAAUUCUUAAAGACGAGAAGACCCUUUAGAAUUUUAUAAAAAUUAGAAUUUUAAAAUUUAGGUAUUAAUAUUUUAUUAUUUUAAUUUUUAUUUGAUUGGGGCGAUUGAAAAAUUUAAAAAACUUUUUUUACUAUAAAUCAUUGAUUUAUGAGUAUUUGAUCCAUAAUUUAUGAUUAAAAGAAUAAAUUACCUAAGGGAUAACAGCGUUAUUUUUUUAGAGAGUUCUUAUCGAUAAAAAAGAUUGCGACCUCGAUGUUGGAUUAAAAUUAAAUUAUGGUGCAGAAGCUAUAACUUUAGGUCUGUUCGACCUUUAAAAUUUUACAUGAUCUGAGUUUAAACCGGUGUGAGCCAGGUUGGUUUCUAUCUUAAGUCAAUAAAAAUGUUAUAGUACGAAAGGACCUAAUAUUUUUUUUAUAAAAUUUCACUAGACUGUCAUUA
This 1300-nucleotide ribosomal RNA is filed under the name Epuraea sp. RNAcentral describes it as "16S ribosomal RNA". The stretch from base 1059 to 1217 matches the Rfam family "Archaeal large subunit ribosomal RNA", at positions 2542 to 2701 of the family's 2987-position model. Lineage: Eukaryota; Metazoa; Arthropoda; Insecta; Coleoptera; Nitidulidae. The record is from RNAcentral.